Molecule: long non-coding RNA, 610 nt
Filed under: Gallus gallus (chicken)
Lineage: Eukaryota; Metazoa; Chordata; Aves; Galliformes; Phasianidae
Source: RNAcentral
GGAAAGCAAAAAAGAAAGUGUUGGCUCGCUUUCCAUUGGGAUGUUUAGAAAUGUUUACAGUGGCAUUAGCUCUUGGUGCUGCCGGGGAUGCGCAGCCACCAGCGGUGCUACUGGUAGUGGGAAUGAGCUCUUUUCUUCACCUUGAAGCUGAGCAGCCCCAGCCUGGGCUGUGUGCAGGAAGCUGCCAGCUGCAACCACAGUGGGACGGAGCCUCCUGCGAGGAGGCAGCAAUGGGCUGAGCUGUGCCCCAUCCCAGCCGAACGGGGCUGCGGGAGCACAUCCAUAAGCAAGACACAGACCUAAAGACCUUCUUCACUUCUCUAAUCCCAGGCACUUCUCUUUGCAUAGGCAACUUCACGUACAGCAGGAUGAAUGAGCCCCCGAGCAUCCCAAGCACUCCAUCUGCCACAAACCCACUGAACGCCAAGCACUGCACUUUUGCACUGACCUACGUGGAGUCAACGUAAACCCCAUCACCCCAGGCAGGACCACAGAGCCGGCUGCUCAGCCAUGGGGCCAGCACACAGCACCGCAUCCCACGGCCCUCCACAGAGGACGAUGCUCCAUCACUCCCUCAUCCACUUAAUUGAAAGUAUUCAAACAUCUUGCC